CCUACGGGAGGCAGCAGUGAGGAAUAUUGGUCAAUGGCCGCAGGGCUGAACCAGCCAAGUCGCGUGAGGGAUGACGGUCCUAUGGAUUGUAAACCUCUUUUGUCAGGGAGCAAAGGGCGCCACGUGUGGCGUUUUGCGAGUACCUGAAGAAAAAGAAUCGGCUAACUCCGUGCCAGCAGCCGCGGUAAUCAGGAGGAUGCGAGCGUUAUCCGGAUUUAUUGGGUGUAAAGGGUGCGCAGGCGGAAUGUAAAGUCAGCGGUAAAAUUUCGGGGCUAAAUCCCGUCGUGCCGUUGAAAAUGGCGUUCUUGAGUGAGCGAGAAGUAUGAGGAAUGCGUGGGGGAGCGGUGAAAUGCAUAGAUAUCACGCAGAACUCAGAUUGCGAAGGCAGCAUACCGGCGCUCAACUGACGCUCAUGCACGAAAGCGUGGGUAUCGAACAGGAUUAGAUACCCGUGUAGUC
RNAcentral lists this ribosomal RNA (459 nucleotides) under uncultured bacterium. Its description in RNAcentral is "partial 16S ribosomal RNA". It matches the Rfam family "Bacterial small subunit ribosomal RNA", at positions 338 to 795 of the family's 1533-position model. The record is from RNAcentral.